AUUGAACGCUGGCGGCAUGCUUUACACAUGCAAGUCGAACGGCAGCGCGGGCUUCGGCCUGGCGGCGAGUGGCGAACGGGUGAGUAAUACAUCGGAACGUGCCCAGUAGUGGGGGAUAGCUCGGCGAAAGCCGGAUUAAUACCGCAUACGACCUGAGGGUGAAAGCGGGGGAUCUUCGGACCUCGCGCUAUUGGAGCGGCCGAUGGCAGAUUAGCUAGUUGGUGGGGUAAAGGCCUACCAAGGCGACGAUGUGUAGCUGGUCUGAGAGGACGACCAGCCACUAGGGAUGAGAACCCGCCCCGGCUCCUUAGGGAGGGCGCAGUGGGGAAUUUUGGACAAUGGGCGAAAGCCUGAUCCAGCAAUGCCGCGUGUGUGAUGAAGGCCUUCGGGUUGUAAAGCACUUUUGGCGGGAACGAAAAGGACUGUGCCAAUACCACGGUUCGAUGACGGUACCCGCAGAAUAAGCACCGGCUAACUACGUG
Molecule: ribosomal RNA, 482 nt
Filed under: uncultured bacterium
Lineage: Bacteria
Description: partial 16S ribosomal RNA
Rfam family: Bacterial small subunit ribosomal RNA
Source: RNAcentral